UGCCUUCCCCUUGCAUCCUGGGAGCCCCACU
This 31-nucleotide non-coding RNA is filed under the name Homo sapiens (human). The record is from RNAcentral. Lineage: Eukaryota; Metazoa; Chordata; Mammalia; Primates; Hominidae.